Molecule: ribosomal RNA, 498 nt
Filed under: uncultured bacterium
Lineage: Bacteria
Description: partial 16S ribosomal RNA
Rfam family: Bacterial small subunit ribosomal RNA
Source: RNAcentral
AUUGAACGCUGGCGGCAUGCCUUACACAUGCAAGUCGAACGGCAGCGGACCUUCGGGUGCCGGCGAGUGGCGAACGGGUGAGUAAUAUAUCGGAACGUGCCUUUCAGUGGGGGAUAACGUAGCGAAAGUUACGCUAAUACCGCAUAUUCUUUGAGGAGGAAAGCAGGGGACCUUCGGGCCCCGCGCUGAUAGAGCGGCCGAUAUCAGAUUAGCUAGUUGGGGGGGUAAAGGCCUACCAAGGCGACGAUCUGUAGCGGGUCUGAGAGGAUGAUCCGCCACACUGGGACUGAGACACGGCCCAGACUCCUACGGGAGGCAGCAGUGGGGAAUUUUGGACAAUGGGCGAAAGCCUGAUCCAGCCAUGCCGCGUGAGUGAAGAAGGCCUUCGGGUUGUAAAGCUCUUUCGGCCGGGAAGAAAUCGCACAGGCUAAUACCUUGUGUGGAUGACGGUACCGGAAUAAGAAGCACCGGCUAACUACGUGCCAGCAGCCGCCGUAA